RNAcentral lists this ribosomal RNA (406 nucleotides) under uncultured bacterium. RNAcentral's name for it is "partial 16S ribosomal RNA". It matches the Rfam family "Bacterial small subunit ribosomal RNA", at positions 28 to 526 of the family's 1533-position model. The record is from RNAcentral.
GACGAACGCUGGCGGCGUGCCUAAUACAUGCAAGUCGAACGAGUGGCGGACGGGUGAGUAACACGUGGGAACCUACCCAUCAGAGGGGGAUAACACUUGGUAACUGGUGCUAAUACCGCAUACUGAUGGAUGGACUCGGGGUGCAUUAGCUAGAUGGUGAGGUAACGGCUAACCAAGUCGACGAUGCCUAGCCGGUCUGAGAGGGUGAUCAGCCACACUGGAACUGAGACACGGCCCAGACGCCUACGGGAGGCAGCAGUGGGGAAUAUUGCACAAUGGGCGCAAGCCUGAUGCAGCCAUGCCGCGUGUAUGAAGAAGGCCUUAGGGUUGUAAAGUACUUUCAGCGGGGAGGCGUUACCCGCAGAAGAAGCACCGGCUAACUCCGUGCCAGCAGCCGCGGUAAUAC